This 75-nucleotide transfer RNA is filed under the name Caulobacter phage CcrBL9. It matches the Rfam family "tRNA". From Rfam's summary of the family: Transfer RNA (tRNA) molecules are approximately 80 nucleotides in length. Their secondary structure includes four short double-helical elements and three loops (D, anti-codon, and T loops). RNAcentral also lists the same sequence under 1 other name. Lineage: Duplodnaviria; Heunggongvirae; Uroviricota; Caudoviricetes; Jeanschmidtviridae. The record is from Rfam by way of RNAcentral.
GGCCCCGUAGCUCAGCGGAACAAGAGCGCUGUUUUCCGAAAGCAGAGGUCGCGGGUUCGAUUCCCGCCGGGGCCG